This 117-nucleotide unclassified non-coding RNA is filed under the name uncultured fungus. RNAcentral describes it as "sequence contains ITS1". The record is from RNAcentral. Lineage: Eukaryota; Fungi.
CGAAACGGACGCUCAAGCGUCGACCUCAACUUCCUGUGAGCGAAAAGGCUUGCCUCGGCGCCUCGUGCGCCGGAAAUAUGCCGACCUGCCUUUGAGUCUGAGACAAAACAAGGUUUA